Molecule: ribosomal RNA, 305 nt
Filed under: Podarcis tauricus tauricus
Lineage: Eukaryota; Metazoa; Chordata; Lepidosauria; Squamata; Lacertidae
Description: partial 16S ribosomal RNA
Rfam family: Bacterial large subunit ribosomal RNA
Source: RNAcentral
CUGUCUCUUACGGCCUAGCCAAUGAAAUUGAUCCUCCAGUACAAAAGCUGGAAUAAACUCAUAAGACGAGAAGACCCUGUGGAGCUUUAAAACCAAGAUCAUUAAACUAUGCUCCUUGGAUUUUUAGUUGGGGCGACUUUGGAGCAAAAAAACCCUCCAAAACAUAAAUUUAAUUAUUUAGACCAACACACCAAGAAAAUUAUAUUAGACCCAGCAGUAUUUUUUUACUGUCUGACCAAUGAACCAAGUUACCCCAGGGAUAACAGCGCUAUCCUCUUCUAGAGUCCCUAUCGACAAGAGGGUUU